UACUUCAAAAAAUAAGUUCUCUCUACAAAAGCAGGAAGCUUGCUCUGUCUCCUUUCCCACAACAAUCUGCAUUUUUGGGGAAAUGCCAGCCUUGGGACUCUUCCUGUCUUUUCAUUAUGACAGAAAGCUCAUGGUGUGUUCAAAAAUAAUCAACAUUAGGAUUUACUUCUUUUUAAACAACUGAUGAUACAAAGUUGUUUAUAAACAGGUAUUAUUAUGUCCAGAUGCUUUUGCGUCUGAGGUUGGGACAGAGGUCACAUGAAAUCACAUGAAAACCGGUGAUGACUCCGAGCCAACCCGUCAUUAACAUUCAUGAUUUUUAUUUUCCUCUCGGGCAGAGCCUGCAGGAGCGGUGGCAAGACAAAGGCUACUCAGCCAUAAAACCGAGCCCUUAGCGUGUCUGUGCGGUGGGAAGGGGCACAGCCCCAGGACCCGCAGGGGGAACAAAGCCUACAUGGUGUCUGCUGGGAAAAGCUUGAAUCAAAAGCACUAUAACCGAUACAUCUGAAAGCAUCCAGGGAUUUGGGGCUGCCCAGCUUCGGAAGCGUGACUUGCAGAAGUUUGCUGUUGCAGUGGCGGAUGGAAUGUCUGUAUUGCCCUAACGAGACACUAAGCCAAAUCCAACCCGUUGUAGCUGCAGAAACAGAGGGGAAGACUACAAGGGACAGAGGAGCUCUUGGAAAAGAGGAUCAGGCUGAGCCAGACCCACUGCUGGAAGGAGAGGAACCCAAGGCUUGCCGAGUCACUCCCGUUACGGUUUAGCCCCUGCAGAGCUGUGGUGCCCUACGCCGCCGUACAGCCAGGUAACUGAAGGGCUUUCUGCCCGGUGGGUGCUCGUCUGGUGGAGUUCUGGGAACAGGGUUCAGUACAUGGGUCCCUGCUCAGCUUCCGACAAACCAUCACUGUUGUGCUGCCCCACAGAUUUCCUAGGAAACUUAAAAAUACAGGAUCAGCAUCUGCACUGGGAGCUCUGGCUUAUCCAGAGCCCUCCAGUCACUGUUCUGACUGGGGUAAACCAACAGUUUUCCCCUGCAGCCACCAGUAGCGGUGGUGUGAGCAUGUCCCCCCGUGCACGUGCCAUCGUGCUCAGCCCCUGAGCACUGCAGAGGUCUGAAGGGCGGCAGGAGCUGCAAGACGGGCGGUUGCUUUCAAGCCUCUCGUCCAACUGAGGCAUAAUCAAAGCUGCAUUUCUGAUCAUCUAACCAGUGCUUUGUCCCAUGCAUUCCUGCCAUUACUCUGAUGCAUGCAAUGGGCUUUUCUUCAGCUGGGAUCAAUGAAAAUCUGCCCUGAGCUGGGCCUGGCAGCAGGAGCUGAGGGUGACGGGUGGCACUAGGUUGCAGGCAAAGCUCCUCUUUGUUCAGGCAAGAGCUCACCGAUGUUUCUUGCAAUGUCAUAGGUUUCUGUGCUUUGUGCAAUGCUCCUCACUUGCGGACAGGUCUGAGUUAUACCCUGCUCCACGCUCCCACAGAUCCCUCGCUGCCCACUCCCGCCGUGUUAGCACGGCCAGUACGGAGGCAGCGUGGUCCCUAAUGGCAAACCCUGGUCACACACUCAUGGGGCUUGGAGCAACUGCUGGGUGACGCCACAGGCAGAGCGGGAAGCAUUUGUCACUGGAAGCUGACAGCACCAAAAGGCUUGUGAAUAACAGGAAAGAGGGGGAUCAUGCUGUAUAUUUCUGACGGCUCCACCCGGCUGUCCAGGAGGGGCUGUGCUUGCUGAUAGCUUCUAGUUUCCUCCAAGCAGCACGCACAGGCUAUGGGCUGAUGGCCACAGGUUGCCCCAUACCUCCCCCGAACCGUGCCGCUCUCCGCAGAGAAGUAUUUUGACUACUUCAGCCCAGGAUAAUUAGCGCUGCAUCAGUAAUGGGGGGGGGGAUUCAUUUCAUGAUGAUGAUGCUUCCACCCUCUCUCUUCUUCUAGGGGUAUGGGCUGGCUUUAAAUGCAAACUUCACAAAGCGUGAGGGAAUGUUUGCACAGCAAAAGCAUCAAAAGCUAGCAUCUUCAAACUGACCCCAAACAUUUAAUUUGGCUUAAAAGGAAAUGCUUUUAUUUAGGCUUCAAAGUUCUUUCACUUGUUGUUUGACAGCUUCCACUUUCUUUCAUCUUUCUAAAUGUAGGCAAAUUUCAAAACAACAACAGUUCAAAACAAAAGAUCAGAAAGCUUUGUCUGAGAAACGCCAGGCUGAAAUGAUUCCAUCUAGAUUUCCACCGAAGCCAUUCACUGAAUGAAUCCAAAUGGUCAAACUUUUGGUCACUUCCAGUUUCUUUUUUUUGGUGUUUUCCCUCCUGCAGCCUCAGCUGGGAGGGUGCGGAGGGCCAUGCUUGGCCAGUGCUGGCAGCCUGAGUUGCUGGGCUGUGCCGCUGAGCACCAUGCUGGCACUGGGCUGUGCCGCUGAGCACCGUGCUGGCACUGCUGCAGCCAGUGGGCUGGGGACACGCAGCUGGUCCCCUCUCGCUUGGAAGCUGCAUUCCCCAAACCAGCCGCAGAACUGAGGAUGCUGUCAGUUAUAAUUAAAUAAUGCUCUCACCUGGUGUCAAAUUAAGCCGGCAUAAGCACUCUUGCAUCUCUAUUGACAUGGACUUAAUGAUGCAACAAAACAAUUUGGUUUGCUGUGUUCCUUGCUGAGCAGAGUGGGAAUGCUCUGCGCUGGCCUGCUACCUUUCAGAUUACACUGGUUGCAUUUCCAGGGGUAUCUGAGCCCUUCAGAUGACAUCAGGCUGGACAAGAGAUUGGCCCCUAUGUACCACAUUGUCUCUUGGACACGUGAGAGCCACAGAGUAAGCCUGGAGCAGAGCCUCCUCACUGCGGGGAGCCAGGCGCAUCCCUCAGCCAUGGACAUCUGGGCAUCCCUUCCGAGCGGGUCCCACCUCCGUUGCAGGACAGUGAGGGCAGGCCAGCCUUGCACAGGCUGGGCAAGGGCAGAAGACUCUGCAGCGGCAGCCGUGGGCAUCCCUUGCCCCCAUCAGCCUGGGUGCUACCUGGCAUCCUGGCAGCUGGAAGAGGUGCUGGUCUAUGGCUACAGCAGCCUGGAGGUGCUGUGUGAAGAGGGGCAAGCUUCCCCAGCAUCUAGGUCACAGCUGUAUUUAUACAGCUCAAAAAACAAAGAAAGAAAAGUGCUCUGGGGCACAGAGCUUUAGCACUCAGCCAGCAAGGAUAUUAAAAAGAAGGGGAGAUAAGCUCCCAAGAACUUCGUUUCCUCUUCACCUUCUUUCUAAUUUAUUCCCUUGUUUAUUUAAAUGCUCUGCUUUGGGGAGGCUCCAUUUCACAAAUGAUUUAAAGGAAUUUCAUGGGCAGCCAGAGCUGUCAGACAAGACCAAGCUGGCUGCAAACCCUCUGGAGUGUGACAGAGAAUUUAGGUAACUUUAUUUUAUAAAAUCUCCUUGCGGUCAAACUCUCCUGCUCUGGUCCUUUUCUGAACUCUCUGCCAAAAGGCCAGGGCGCUGACUGUUUGAGGACUGUGCAAAAUAGACAUCCAUCUUCCGCUGUAUGUGAGACAGCUGGGGGGAGAGGCUGCUCUGCGGGAUCGUGCCUCACUUGUACGGGCUCGACAGGCAAAGUUAGCAGAAGUGGGCGAUGGCUGACCUUCCUCAUUGCUUGGGAGGGUCUGGCAUGCUGGGGAGGAAUGAUGGUUCAGGGCCUGGGCAGAGAGGUCACGGUGAAAUUAUCUGCACAGCAGACAGCACUUCUCACUUGGCUUCCUCCCACCCAUCUCCCUUUCCGAUCCAUCACUGUUACCGCAACGAAUGCCCUGAACAGAAAUCCCCGUUGUGCACCAUCGGAUGUUUUUGCUGUGUGACCCUUUCCGCCUAGUCUGCCCUUCUCCAGCCCUUUGCUCAUGGGGCUCCUUGGCCCAUCUCUCUGUCAUGAAUCACCUCUCCAGUUAGGUCUUUCCUUGGUGCGGGAGCCACUGCAGUGGGCAGGCAAGGCAGUGACCUGUCUGCAUGCUGGUAGCCCAGGGCUUUGGGCAAUGUGCUGGGGUGAGUGCUUGCCAGCAUCCACUACAGGAGAAGGUGCACAGAAGGGCUUUUCAUCCUCCUGUCAGUGGCACAGUGUAUCCAGCAAGCAGAAAAAAGAGGGAGUCUGGAGCGGGACAAGCUGCUGAAAAUAUGCCUUUGCAGUUUUGUUCCAUCACAGCUGCACUGGCGAGGUAAGAUGGGAGCUCCGAUCCAGCCCGGCAAGGAUUUGGAUCUGUGCAUUAGCUCCCUGCUCACUCGUUAUUUGACAAAGCUGACUGGAGAGGACAGGACAGGCCUGGACAGAAACGAGCCACCCCUUAGACAAGUUCUUUCCACAUUCUGGUGCCCCGAUGGCAGUCCAGCAGUUCCCAGGAACAGGAAUAACUCGACCUUGAGAAGAAAACAAUGUUCUGCCCCCCAUCCCGUGUGUCAGACAACAAUGACUAACUUCACAACCUUCAUUUUAGGACCAGAAUUGAGCCCGUCCUCUAAUCUGGGGCUUUUUGAAACAUCAGAUCUCCAUGAGCCAUUAGCCAUCCUCACCCAGACUGGAUAUAUGUGAACUGCUUCAGGAUUUAACUGCUAUGAAAAGAGCUCUUAAAAACCGCUUGCCAUGAUUUGCUGCUUACAACAACAGUUGCAGGGGAGAUUCUCUAACUCACUGGGAUGUGUCCCAG
Molecule: long non-coding RNA, 4633 nt
Organism: Falco peregrinus (peregrine falcon)
Lineage: Eukaryota; Metazoa; Chordata; Aves; Falconiformes; Falconidae
Exons: 3
Source: RefSeq, a predicted model, not a curated record